CUUCUCCCACCUCAUCUCCACCAGCUUCCUCCCACAAUGCUGCAACCGCAACCCCCGCAUCAACUCCCACGGCUUCGCCUCCGUCCAAAACUGCCGCUCCAGCUCCAGCGACCAACCCCCCGGCCUCCACACCUCCGUCUGCCACACCUCCGGCUGCUACACCUCCAGCGGUCACACCUCCAGCAGCCACACCUCCGUCUGCCACACCUCCAGCAGCUACACCUCCGGCUGCCACACCUCCAGCAGCUACACCUCCGGCUGCCACACCUCCAGCAGCCACACCUCCAGCAGCCACACCUCCUGCAGUCACACCUCCAGCGGCCACACCUCCGACUGCCACAACUCCAACAGCCACACCUCCUGCGGCCACACCUCCUGCUUUGACCCCAGUGAGCACACCGCCGGCGCAAGUUCCGGUGAGCUCUCCCC
This 429-nucleotide long non-coding RNA is filed under the name Phaseolus vulgaris (common bean). Its description in RNAcentral is "long non-coding RNA (PVUL_LNC004292)". Lineage: Eukaryota; Viridiplantae; Streptophyta; Magnoliopsida; Fabales; Fabaceae. The record is from RNAcentral.